RNAcentral lists this ribosomal RNA (914 nucleotides) under uncultured archaeon. RNAcentral's name for it is "bacterial SSU rRNA". It matches the Rfam family "Archaeal small subunit ribosomal RNA", at positions 1 to 922 of the family's 1478-position model. The record is from RNAcentral.
UUCCGGUUGAUCCUGCCGGACCUGACUGCUAUCGGAUUGAUACUAAGCCAUGCGAGUCAUUGUAGCAAUACAAGGCAUACGGCUCAGUAACGCGUAGUCAACCUAACCUAUGGACGGGAAUAACCUCGGGAAACUGAGAAUAAUGCCCGAUAGAACAUUAUGCCUGGAAUGGUUUAUGUUCCAAAUGAUUUAUCGCCAUAGGAUGGGACUGCGGCCUAUCAGUUUGUUGGUGAGGUAAUGGCCCACCAAGACUAUUACAGGUACGGGCUCUGAGAGGAGUAGCCCGGAGAUGGGUACUGAGACACGGACCCAGGCCCUAUGGGGCGCAGCAGGCGAGAAAACUUUGCAAUGUGCGAAAGCACGACAAGGUUAAUCCGAGUGAUUUCUGCUAAAGAGAUCUUUUGUUAGUCCUAGAAACACUAACGAAUAAGGGGUGGGCAAGUUCUGGUGUCAGCCGCCGCGGUAAAACCAGCACCUCAAGUGGUCAGGAUGAUUAUUGGGCCUAAAGCAUCCGUAGCCGGCUCUGUAAGUUUUCGGUUAAAUCUGUACGCUCAACGUACAGGCUGCCGGGAAUACUGCAGAACUAGGGAGUGGGAGAGGUAGACGGUACUCGGUAGGAAGUGGUAAAAUGCUUUGAUCUAUCGAUGACCACCUGUGGCGAAGGCGGUCUACCAGAACACGUCCGACGGUGAGGGAUGAAAGCUGGGGGAGCAAACCGGAUUAGAUACCCGGGUAGUCCCAGCUGUAAACUAUGCAAACUCAGUGAUGCAUUGGCUUGUGGCCAAUGCAGUGCUGCAGGGAAGCCGUUAAGUUUGCCGCCUGGGAAGUACGUACGCAAGUAUGAAACUUAAAGGAAUUGGCGGGGGAGCACCACAAGGGGUGAAGCCUGCGGUUCAAUUGGAUUCAACGCCGGG